AAACGCUCGUAGUCGGGUUUCGGGUCGGGCCGAGCGGUCUGCCGAUGGGUAUGCACUGUUUGGCGCGGCCUUCUUUCCGGAGACCGCGGCUACUCUUAACUGAGCGGGCGUGGGAGACGGAUCGUUUACUUUGAAAAAAUCAGAGUGUUUCAAGCAGGCAGCUCGCUCUUGCAUGGUACAGCAUGGGAUGAUUGAAUAGGACUCCGGUGCUAUUUUGUUGGUUUCGAACACCAGGAGUAAUGAUUAACAGGGACAGUCAGGGGCACUCGUAUUCCGUCGAGAGAGGUGAAAUUCUCAGACCAAUGGAAGACGAACCACUGCGAAAGCAUUUGCCAGGGAUGUUUUCACUGAUCAAGAACGAAAGUUAGGGGAUCGAAGACGAUCAGAUACCGUCGUAGUCUUAACCAUAAACCAUGCCGACUAGGGAUUGGAGGGUGUUCGUUUCGACCUCUUCAGCACCUUACGGGAAACUAAAGUCUUUGGGUUCCGGGGGGAGUAUGGUCGCAAGGCUGAAACUUAAAGGAAUUGACGGAAGGGCACCACCAGGAGUGGAGCCUGCGGCUUAAUUUGACUCAACACGGGGAAACUUACCAGGUCCAGACAUUGUUAGGAUUGACAGAUUGAGAGCUCUUUCUUGAUUCGAUGGGUGGUGGUGCAUGGCCGUUCUUAGUUGGUGGAGUGAUUUGUCUGGUUAAUUCCGAUAACGAACGAGACCGUAGCCUGCUAAAUAGUCCCGCGAACUUCUUGUUGGCGGCCGACUUCUUAGAGGGACAACUUGUGACCAACAAGUGGAAGUUUGCGGCAAUAACAGGUCUGUGAUGCCCUUAGAUGUUCUGGGCCGCACGCGCGCUACACUGAAGCACUCAACGAGUCCACCUCGACCGACAGGUCUGGGAAACCUUUUGAAAUUGCUUCGUGAUGGGGAUAGAUUAUUGCA
This 937-nucleotide ribosomal RNA is filed under the name uncultured marine eukaryote. Its description in RNAcentral is "SSU rRNA". It matches the Rfam family "Eukaryotic small subunit ribosomal RNA", at positions 622 to 1588 of the family's 1831-position model. The record is from RNAcentral.